GCGCCGGCGCGCCUGAUUCAGCAUCUCCUAGAGGGAUGCCCUUCUUCUGCGCAGACGCGGUCCCUGUGGCUCCCAUGGGUAAUCCCCAUGACAUCUGCCGUGACAACCACGCCCAUUUGAGAGUGAGGAGCUGCCCCCUAUUCAGCUGUAUAUCAUCUCACUCUGAUUGAGGGCAGCAUAUUAGUGAGCCGCACAGCUGAUCAAUCAGCGUGAGCUCUGCCAGAGGAAUCAUUCCUCGGUAUACUGAGGCAACAGCAGGUCAUAGCAUUUGGACUAAACAGAUUUCUUGGGCAAUUUAUCUGCCUAAUUUCCGGCAGUUACUAUUGCAACUUUAAUCAGUACUGACAGAAAUUUCUUGGGAUGAUCCAUAUCAAUCUCUUUUGAGACUACUUCAUCAUCAAUCUUCCCAUUAUUCUUAUCAUUAUUUGAACCAGUACCUGCUUGCCUUCGGCUCCUCUUCCUCUAUAGGCUUGCAUCCAGGCUCUGUGCGGUGCAUGGUGAUCCUACCCGCAUGCAUAAGAGGAUCAUUUCCUCUUUUUCCCAUCCCUCCUUCCUUCCAUCUGGGAUUCUCCAUCUGGGAUUCUGAGCCAGUUACGGCUAACUAUUCAGGUUUUUCAGUCCAUUUUUUCAGACUACUGCCCCCCAUUGGUUCCUGACGAAGCCCCCUUGGGCGAAACUAGUAGAACCGUUACAUGCGGGAUGAAAUGAAGAUCACCUGCAUCUUUAUGCACUUGAAGUAUCAUUUUAUUUGUUAGUCUGGAAUUUGUCUAGUAUGCACUCUAUAGUAUUCAAUGUAUAUCUUUUUUCU
Molecule: long non-coding RNA, 808 nt
Organism: Rana temporaria (common frog)
Lineage: Eukaryota; Metazoa; Chordata; Amphibia; Anura; Ranidae
Exons: 5
Source: RefSeq, a predicted model, not a curated record